Molecule: ribosomal RNA, 1530 nt
Filed under: Salmonella enterica
Lineage: Bacteria; Pseudomonadati; Pseudomonadota; Gammaproteobacteria; Enterobacterales; Enterobacteriaceae
Description: bacterial SSU rRNA
Source: RNAcentral
AAAUUGAAGAGUUUGAUCAUGGCUCAGAUUGAACGCUGGCGGCAGGCCUAACACAUGCAAGUCGAACGGUAACAGGAAGCAGCUUGCUGCUUUGCUGACGAGUGGCGGACGGGUGAGUAAUGUCUGGGAAACUGCCUGAUGGAGGGGGAUAACUACUGGAAACGGUGGCUAAUACCGCAUAACGUCGCAAGACCAAAGAGGGGGACCUUCGGGCCUCUUGCCAUCAGAUGUGCCCAGAUGGGAUUAGCUUGUUGGUGAGGUAACGGCUCACCAAGGCGACGAUCCCUAGCUGGUCUGAGAGGAUGACCAGCCACACUGGAACUGAGACACGGUCCAGACUCCUACGGGAGGCAGCAGUGGGGAAUAUUGCACAAUGGGCGCAAGCCUGAUGCAGCCAUGCCGCGUGUAUGAAGAAGGCCUUCGGGUUGUAAAGUACUUUCAGCGGGGAGGAAGGUGUUGUGGUUAAUAACCRCAGCAAUUGACGUUACCCGCAGAAGAAGCACCGGCUAACUCCGUGCCAGCAGCCGCGGUAAUACGGAGGGUGCAAGCGUUAAUCGGAAUUACUGGGCGUAAAGCGCACGCAGGCGGUCUGUCAAGUCGGAUGUGAAAUCCCCGGGCUCAACCUGGGAACUGCAUUCGAAACUGGCAGGCUUGAGUCUUGUAGAGGGGGGUAGAAUUCCAGGUGUAGCGGUGAAAUGCGUAGAGAUCUGGAGGAAUACCGGUGGCGAAGGCGGCCCCCUGGACAAAGACUGACGCUCAGGUGCGAAAGCGUGGGGAGCAAACAGGAUUAGAUACCCUGGUAGUCCACGCCGUAAACGAUGUCUACUUGGAGGUUGUGCCCUUGAGGCGUGGCUUCCGGAGCUAACGCGUUAAGUAGACCGCCUGGGGAGUACGGCCGCAAGGUUAAAACUCAAAUGAAUUGACGGGGGCCCGCACAAGCGGUGGAGCAUGUGGUUUAAUUCGAUGCAACGCGAAGAACCUUACCUGGUCUUGACAUCCACGGAAGUUUUCAGAGAUGAGAAUGUGCCUUCGGGAACCGUGAGACAGGUGCUGCAUGGCUGUCGUCAGCUCGUGUUGUGAAAUGUUGGGUUAAGUCCCGCAACGAGCGCAACCCUUAUCCUUUGUUGCCAGCGRUUMGGYCGGGAACUCAAAGGAGACUGCCAGUGAUAAACUGGAGGAAGGUGGGGAUGACGUCAAGUCAUCAUGGCCCUUACGACCAGGGCUACACACGUGCUACAAUGGCGCAUACAAAGAGAAGCGACCUCGCGAGAGCAAGCGGACCUCAUAAAGUGCGUCGUAGUCCGGAUUGGAGUCUGCAACUCGACUCCAUGAAGUCGGAAUCGCUAGUAAUCGUGGAUCAGAAUGCCACGGUGAAUACGUUCCCGGGCCUUGUACACACCGCCCGUCACACCAUGGGAGUGGGUUGCAAAAGAAGUAGGUAGCUUAACCUUCGGGAGGGCGCUUACCACUUUGUGAUUCAUGACUGGGGUGAAGUCGUAACAAGGUAACCGUAGGGGAACCUGCGGUUGG